RNAcentral lists this unclassified non-coding RNA (927 nucleotides) under Hevea brasiliensis (rubber tree). The record is from RNAcentral. Lineage: Eukaryota; Viridiplantae; Streptophyta; Magnoliopsida; Malpighiales; Euphorbiaceae.
UCUGGGAUGGCAAAAUACAUGUGAAAGUGUUGAGGAUAUAGCAGCAACAUUGGCAGCUCUUAGCACGGAGAUAGAUAUCAGCGUUCUGUACCGUGGUCUAGAUCCAAAAAAACAUGCAUAGCUUGGUUUCAGUGGUAUGCUAUUAUGGGCAACAUUAUCAUUGCUUUGCCUAUAGUCAUCAUACAUAAUCCAUCGUUCAUGCUCCUGACCAAGACUGUCAAGGUGAUUGGGAGCUGGGCGGAUGUUCUUUCCAUGUGUGAAAGAGGACACUUGCAACCUCAGGUUCUUUUCUUUGAAGCUACAAACUAGUGGUUAGUGGAACUUAUCGAAUUAUUCUCUACACAAGAGAGCACUGAGUUCGGCAUGGCUUGACAUUUGAUUGCUGUAUGGGGUGAGGUUUUUGUAGUGAUGCAUUGCGGCUUUGCCCUGACACAGUUCAUAUGAUGAAACAUACAGCUUUGUUUUGAAGAACUUGUAAGUUUUGAUACAAGCCUUCUCAGGGAAGAAUAACAAAUCAAGAGAAUUUUCUUUUGGCUUGAAGAAAGCAGUAACACAAGAGACUGAAGGUGUAAAUUUUUGGUACUCUUGCAUCAGAAAACUUUUGACAGGGUAAUGGAGAUUUUUCCAUGGAAUUUUCAUGGAUCUGUCCAAUAAGGUGGUUUGGUUGAGAAAAAGAGCAGCAUUUUCCUGGUUACCUGCCUGUGAAUGCAUUAAAAGAACUUAUGAUGCUUCUCAUGAGACAAAUAAUGAUCGGUUAUUGCCAGGAGCAUAUACUAAAGCAAUUGUAAGUGGGGAAUUAAGUUAAAAUUAGAUCGAAACUCUCUUCUGGAUGAACAAUUUUUCAGAAUUUUUGCCCCUUUAGAAGAGGUUCUGUAUAGGUCACAUCAUAGUCCCUUAGAUUUUCUAACUUUCCACACGCAGCUUAUU